Molecule: ribosomal RNA, 670 nt
Filed under: Trametes versicolor
Lineage: Eukaryota; Fungi; Basidiomycota; Agaricomycetes; Polyporales; Polyporaceae
Description: eukaryotic LSU rRNA
Rfam family: Eukaryotic large subunit ribosomal RNA
Source: RNAcentral
CAAAUCAGGUAGGACUACCCGCUGAACUUAAGCAUAUCAAUAAGCGGAGGAAAAGAAACUAACAAGGAUUCCCCUAGUAACUGCGAGUGAAGCGGGAAAAGCUCAAAUUUAAAAUCUGGCGGUCUUUGGCCGUCCGAGUUGUAGUCUGGAGAAGCGUCUUCCGCGUUGGACCGUGUACAAGUCUCUUGGAACAGAGCGUCAUAGAGGGUGAGAAUCCCGUCUUUGACACGGACUACCAAUGCUUUGUGAUGCGCUCUCAAAGAGUCGCGUUGUUUGGGAAUGCAGCGCAAAAUGGGAGGUGAAUUCCUUCUAAAGCUAAAUAUUGGCGAGAGACCGAUAGCGAACAAGUACCGUGAGGGAAAGAUGAAAAGCACUUUGGAAAGAGAGUUAAACAGUACGUGAAAUUGCUAAAAGGGAAACGCUUGAAGUCAGUCGCGUCGUCCGGAACUCAGCUUUGCUUCGGCUUAGUGCACUUUCCGGUUGACGGGCCAGCAUCGAUUUUGACCGCUGGAAAAGGGCUGGAGGAAUGUGGCACCUUCGGGUGUGUUAUAGCCUUCAGUCGCAUACAGCGGUUGGGAUCGAGGAACGCAGCGCGCCUUAUGGCUGGGGUUCGCCCACAUUCGCGCUUAGGAUGCUGGCAUAAUGGCUUUAAACGACCCGUCUUGAAACA